This 468-nucleotide ribosomal RNA is filed under the name uncultured bacterium. RNAcentral describes it as "partial 16S ribosomal RNA". It matches the Rfam family "Bacterial small subunit ribosomal RNA", at positions 28 to 507 of the family's 1533-position model. The record is from RNAcentral.
GACGAACGCUGGCGGCGUGCUUAACACAUGCAAGUCGAACGGAAAGGCCCUGCUUUUGUGGGGUGCUCGAGUGGCGAACGGGUGAGUAACACGUGAGUAACCUGCCCUUGACUUUGGGAUAACUUCAGGAAACUGGGGCUAAUACCGGAUAGGAGCUCCUGCUGCAUGGCAGGGGUUGGAAAGUUUCGGCGGUUGGGGAUGGACUCGCGGCUUAUCAGCUUGUUGGUGGGGUAGUGGCUUACCAAGGCUUUGACGGGUAGCCGGCCUGAGAGGGUGACCGGCCACAUUGGGACUGAGAUACGGCCCAGACUCCUACGGGAGGCAGCAGUGGGGAAUAUUGCACAAUGGGCGGAAGCCUGAUGCAGCAACGCCGCGUGCGGGAUGACGGCCUUCGGGUUGUAAACCGCUUUCGCCUGUGACGAAGCGUGAGUGACGGUAAUGGGUAAAGAAGCACCGGCUAACUACGUG